AGUGAACGCUGGCGGUAGGCCUAACACAUGCAAGUCGAACGGCAGCACAGUAAGAGCUUGCUCUUACGGGUGGCGAGUGGCGGACGGGUGAGGAAUACAUCGGAAUCUACUUUAUCGUGGGGGAUAACGGAGGGAAACUUACGAUAAUACCGCAUACGACCAACGGGUGAAAGCAGGGGAUCUUCGGACCUUGCGCGAUUGAAUGAGCCGAUGUCGGAUUAGCUAGUUGGCGGGGUAAAGGCCCACCAAGGCGACGAUCCGUAGCUGGUCUGAGAGGAUGAUCAGCCACACUGGAACUGAGACACGGUCCAGACUCCUACGGGAGGCAGCAGUGGGGAAUAUUGGACAAUGGGCGCAAGCCUGAUCCAGCCAUACCGCGUGGGUGAAGAAGGCCUUCGGGUUGUAAAGCCCUUUUGUUGGGAAAGAAAAGCAGCAGGUUAAUACCCCGCUGUUCUGACGGUACCCAAAGAAUAAGCACCGGCUAACUUCGUG
RNAcentral lists this ribosomal RNA (492 nucleotides) under uncultured bacterium. RNAcentral's name for it is "partial 16S ribosomal RNA". It matches the Rfam family "Bacterial small subunit ribosomal RNA", at positions 29 to 507 of the family's 1533-position model. The record is from RNAcentral.